AGGAUGAACGCUGGCGGCGUGCCUAACACAUGCAAGUCGGACGAGGUAGCAAUACCUAGUGGCAGACGGGUGAGUAACGCGUGGUCAACCUACCGUUGAGCGGGGGAUAACUAGCCGAAAGGUUAGCUAAUACCGCAUACGUCUAGCACGGCAUCGUGCAAAGAUAAAAGCCGCAAGGCACUCGACGACGGGACCGCGUCCCAUUAGUUAGUUGGUGGGGUAAUGGCCUACCAAGACUCCGAUGGGUAGCUGGUUUGAGAGAGCGACCAGCCACACUGGGACUGAGAAACGGCCCAGACUCCUACGGGAGGCAGCAGUGAGGAAUUUUCCGCAAUGGGCGAAAGCCUGACGGAGCGACGCCGCGUGUGGGAAGAAGGCCUUCGGGUCGUAAACCACUGUCGAAGGGGAAGAUAUUGACGGUACCCUUGGAGGAAGCCCCGGCUAACUACGUGCCAGCAGCCGC
RNAcentral lists this ribosomal RNA (463 nucleotides) under uncultured bacterium. RNAcentral's name for it is "SSU rRNA". It matches the Rfam family "Bacterial small subunit ribosomal RNA", at positions 26 to 518 of the family's 1533-position model. The record is from RNAcentral.